This 253-nucleotide ribosomal RNA is filed under the name uncultured bacterium. Its description in RNAcentral is "partial 16S ribosomal RNA". It matches the Rfam family "Bacterial small subunit ribosomal RNA", at positions 524 to 776 of the family's 1533-position model. The record is from RNAcentral.
UACGGAGGGGGCAAGCGUUGUUCGGAAUUAUUGGGCGUAAAGGGCGCGUAGGCGGCUAGAUGUGUCAAAGGUGAAAUCCCUCGGCUCAACUGAGGAACUGCCUUUGAAACUGUCUGGCUUGAGGCCGGGAGAGGGUAGCGGAAUUCCCAGUGUAGCGGUGAAAUGCGUAGAUAUUGGGAGGAACACCAGUGGCGAAGGCGGCUACCUGGACCGGUUCUGACGCUGAGGCGCGAAAGCGUGGGUAGCAAACAGG